RNAcentral lists this ribosomal RNA (2874 nucleotides) under Jeotgalibacillus sp. S-D1. RNAcentral's name for it is "23S ribosomal RNA". It matches the Rfam family "Bacterial large subunit ribosomal RNA". The record is from RNAcentral. Lineage: Bacteria; Bacillati; Bacillota; Bacilli; Caryophanales; Caryophanaceae.
GUUGUAUGGUCAAGUAAUUAAGCGCACAUGGUGGAUGCCUUGGCAGUCAGAGGCGAUGAAAGACGUGACAGCCUGCGAUAAGCUUCGGGGAGGCGGCAAUAUCCUGUGAUCCGGAGAUUUCUGAAUGGGGAAACCCACUUAGCGUAAGCUAGGUAUACUAAUUUAUUAGUAAGCGAACGAGGGGAAGUGAAACAUCUCAGUACCCUUAGGAAAAGACAUCAAUAGAGAUUCCCCUAGUAGCGGCGAGCGAACGGGGAGGAGCCGACGGAUUUAUAUGUAGAAGAACAGUGUGGGAAAACUGGCCAUAGUGGGUGAUAGCCCCGUAUUCGAAACAUAUAAUGAAGCAUAUUAAGUAGUGCGGAACACGAGAAAUUCUGUAUGAAGAUGGGGGGACCAUCCUCCAAGGCUAAAUACUCCUGACUGACCGAUAGUGAACCAGUACCGUGAGGGAAAGGCGAAAAGAACCCCUGUGAGGGGAGUGAAAUAGAACCUGAAACCGUGUGCGUACAAGCAGUGGGAGCCCACUUGUUGGGUGACCGCGUACCUUUUGUAUAAUGGGUCAGCGACUUAUAUUCUGUAGCAAGGUUAACCGUUAGGGGAGCCGUAGGGAAACCGAGUCUUAAUAGGGCGUCAUAGUUGCAGGGUAUAGACCCGAAACCGAGUGAUCUAUCCAUGAGCAGGUUGAAAGUGCCGUAACAGGCACCGGAGGACCGAACCCACUGUCGUUGAAAAGCCAGGGGAUGACUUGUGGAUAGGGGUGAAAGGCUAAUCAAACUCGGUGAUAGCUGGUUCUCCCCGAAAGCUAUUUAGGUAGCGCCUCGGACGAACACCAUUGGGGGUAGAGCACUGUUUCGGCUAGGGGGUCAUACCGACUUACCAAACCGAUGCAAACUCCGAAUACCGAUGAGUGAUAUCCGGGAGACACACGGCGGGUGCUAACGUCCGUCGUGGAGAGGGAAACAACCCAGACCGCCAGCUAAGGCCCCAAAUUCCUAGUUAAGUGGGAAACGAAGUGGGAAGGCAUAGACAGCUAGGAGGUUGGCUUAGAAGCAGCCAUCCUUUAAAGAAAGCGUAAUAGCUCACUAGUCGAGUCGGCCCGCGCGGAAGAUGUAACGGGGCUCAAACUAGGAGCCGAAGCUGCGGAUUUGAAAAUUGUUUCAAGUGGUAGGGGAGCGUUGUGUAAGCCUGUGAAGGUGUGUCGUAAGGCAUGCUGGAGGUAUCACAAGAGCGAAUGCUGACGUGAGUAACGAUAAUGCGAGUGAAAAGCUCGCACGCCGGAAGAUCAAGGGUUCCAGUCCAACGUUAAUCGGGGCUGGGUGAGUCGACCCCUAAGGCGAGGCCGAAAGGCGUAGUCGAUGGGAAAUCGGUUAAUAUUCCGAUACUUGUUUAUGAUGUGAUGGAGGGACGGAGAAGGUUAUGCCAGCCUGGCGAUGGUUGUCCAGGUGGAAGGAUGUAGGUAGACGGCUUAGGCAAAUCCGGGCUGUUAAUACUGAGAUCUGAUAGCAAGCUAUACUUGUAUAGCGAAGUGGCAAAUACCAUGCUUCCAGGAAAAGCUUCUAAACUAUAGUCAUAAACGAAUCGUACCCUAAACCGACACAGGUGAUCAGGUAGAGAAUACCAAGGCGCUUGAGAGAACUCUGCUGAAGGAACUAGGCAAAAUGGUACCGUAACUUCGGGAGAAGGUACGCUGUCGAUGGUGAAGCCCUUUGCGGUGUAAGCUAUUGACAGUCGCAGAUACCAGGCUGCUGCAACUGUUUAUUAAAAACACAGCACUCUGCAAACACGAAAGUGGACGUAUAGGGUGUGAUGCCUGCCCGGUGCUGGAAGGUUAAUUGAUGGGCUUAGCGUAUGCGAAGGUCUUGAUCGAAGCCCCAGUAAACGGCGGCCGUAACUAUAACGGUCCUAAGGUAGCGAAAUUCCUUGUCGGGUAAGUUCCGACCUGCACGAAUGGCAUAAUGAUGGCAGCGCUGUCUCCAGCAGAGACUCAGUGAAAUCGAAAUCGCAGUGAAGAUGCUGUGUACCCGCGGCUAGACGGAAAGACCCCGUGAACCUUUACUACAGCUUUACAUUGAACUUUGACCUGACUUGUGCAGGAUAGGUGGGAGGCUUUGAAGCAGAUACGCCAGUAUCUGUGGAGCCAUCCUUGAAAUACCACCCUGGUCAUGUUGGGGUUCUAACUCAGGUAUAACAAUACCGAGGACAAUGUAUGGUGGGUAGUUUGACUGGGGCGGUCUCCUCCUAAAGAGUAACGGAGGAGUACGAAGGUGCGCUCAGAACGGUCGGAAAUCGUUCAUAGAGUAUAAAGGCAAAAGCGCGCUUAACUGCGAGACCCACAAGUCGAGCAGGUACGAAAGUAGGUCUUAGUGAUCCGGUGGUUCUGUAUGGAAGGGCCAUCGCUCAACGGAUAAAAGGUACUCUGGGGAUAACAGGCUGAUACCGCCCAAGAGUUCAUAUCGACGGCGGUGUUUGGCACCUCGAUGUCGGCUCAUCUCAUCCUAGGGCUGAAGCAGGUCCUAAGGGUAUGGCUGUUCGCCAUUUAAAGAGGUACGCGAGCUGGGUUUAGAACGUCGUGAGACAGUUCGGUCCCUAUCUACCGUGGGCGUUGGAAAUUUGAGAGGAUCUGCUCCUAGUACGAGAGGACCAGAGUGGACGAACCGCUGGUGUUCGGGUUGUCAUGCCAAUGGCAUUGCCCGGUAGCUACGUUCGGAUUGGAUAACCGCUGAAAGCAUCUAAGCGGGAAGCCAACCUCAAGAUUAGAUUUCCCUUAAGAGCCGUUCAAGACUAGGACGUUGAUAGGCAGGGUGUGGAAGCGCAGCGAUGCGUGUAGCUAACCUGUACUAAUUGCUCGUUUGGCUUGACCAUACAACACCCAAG